GGUCCUAUAGUUUAAUAAUUGGAAUAUUAGGGUAUUAUUCUUAGCUAUCUGCCUACUAUCUUUUAAGUAUAUUUAAAAGUAUAGUUAGCGGAUUACUUCUAGAUAAUAUACCCGAAGGUCGUAGGUUCGAAUCCUAUUAGGACCA
RNAcentral lists this transfer RNA (145 nucleotides) under Neurospora tetrasperma FGSC 2509. It matches the Rfam family "tRNA". From Rfam's summary of the family: Transfer RNA (tRNA) molecules are approximately 80 nucleotides in length. Lineage: Eukaryota; Fungi; Ascomycota; Sordariomycetes; Sordariales; Sordariaceae. The record is from Rfam by way of RNAcentral.